AUUCAUAGCCAAAGUAAUAAUAUACAUAAAGAAACAAUCUCAUGGAAGAACUUACUCUUGCUUAUUGGCAAGGCUGUCCCCUUUAGUUUGCAUCAGAAUCUGAUUUGCACAAGUAACAGUC
RNAcentral lists this small nucleolar RNA (121 nucleotides) under Neotoma lepida (desert woodrat). RNAcentral describes it as "Small nucleolar RNA SNORA24". It matches the Rfam family "Small nucleolar RNA SNORA24". Rfam says of the family: ACA24 is a member of the H/ACA class of snoRNA that guide the sites of modification of uridines to pseudouridines. The record is from Rfam by way of RNAcentral. Lineage: Eukaryota; Metazoa; Chordata; Mammalia; Rodentia; Cricetidae.